This is a non-coding RNA of Podarcis lilfordi (Lilford's wall lizard), 78 nucleotides long. The record is from the annotation of a GenBank genome assembly. NCBI's taxonomy places the organism in Eukaryota, Metazoa, Chordata, Lepidosauria, Squamata, Lacertidae.
UCACAAGGAUAGUUCAGUUGGUAGAGCAUGAGGCUCUUAAUCUCAGCGCCAUGGGUUCAAGCCCCAAACUGGGCAAAA